AUGCUCACUUGGCAGCACAUAUACUAAAACUGGAACAAUACAGAGGGGAUUAGUAUGGGCCUCUGCGUGAGGAUGAGACUCAAAUUCUUGAGGUGUUCCGUAUUUUC
Molecule: small nuclear RNA, 107 nt
Organism: Ursus americanus (American black bear)
Lineage: Eukaryota; Metazoa; Chordata; Mammalia; Carnivora; Ursidae
Source: Ensembl